This 497-nucleotide ribosomal RNA is filed under the name uncultured bacterium. Its description in RNAcentral is "partial 16S ribosomal RNA". It matches the Rfam family "Bacterial small subunit ribosomal RNA", at positions 29 to 507 of the family's 1533-position model. The record is from RNAcentral.
AAUGAACGCUGGCGGUGUGCCUAAUACAUGCAAGUCGAGCGAACACACGAUGAGCUUGUUCCUCUGACGUUAGCGGCUGACGGACGAGUAACACAUACAUAACCAUCUUAUUAUUCUUGGAUAACUUCGUGGAGCCGGAGCCAAUACUACCUAAUAUAUUCAACCGCUUGAUGCAAGAGAUAAUGACACCUUGCCUGUCUCUAUUAGACGAUGUCGCGCCGCAUUAGCUAGUUGGUAAGGUAACGGCUUACCAAGGCAACGAUGCGUAGCCGACCUGAGAGGGUGAUCGGCCACACUGGAACUGAGACACGGUCCAGACUCCUACGGGAGGCAGCAGUAGGGAAUCUUCCGCAAUGGGCGAAAGCCUGACGGAGCAACGCCGCGUGAGUGAUGAAGGUCUUCGGAUCGUAAAACUCUGUUAUUAGGGAAGAACAAAUGUGUAAGUAACUAUGCACGUCUUGACGGUACCUAAUCAGAAAGCCACGGCUAACUACGUG